This is a long non-coding RNA of Pomacea canaliculata, 555 nucleotides long. RefSeq lists it as uncharacterized. NCBI's taxonomy places the organism in Eukaryota, Metazoa, Mollusca, Gastropoda, Architaenioglossa, Ampullariidae. The record is from RefSeq and is a predicted model, not a curated record. The transcript is spliced from 4 exons.
GCAGUCCGUCAUUUCUAUUCAGUGUACAUCACCUGAGGAAACUGUCUCAAAAAUAGUUUAUCUAAGACCGAUGGUUUAUGAUAUAGAAAUGGAGAGCAUCAGUCACAAAGCAUUCUUAAAUUCCAGCUGCCAUUCCUAGGGGCUCGUGCCAUCUGGACCUCCUGGGACUGGUGAUUGCUGAUGGUUGGAAAUAUGUGGACCGCCACGGCUGCUACUCCUGCAUUUGUAACGAUGGCCUGCUCAACUGCACGGACAAUGUCUGUGAGACUCGACGUCAGGUGGUCAACACCUGCAAAGGUCCGGAUGGACAGGUCUACACCAAUGGACAGACUAUAAAAGAUGCUGAUGGCUGCAACUAUUGCACCUGUCAUAAUGGAAUGCUGCCUGCACUGACAUGACAUGUGCUGGAUGCUAUGAUGCGAUCUCUGGUGUCUGGCGACAGCAGCACAGCACCUUCCUCAGCGCUGACGGAUGCAGCAACUGCGUCUGCACAAACUCAAAAAUCUUGUGUACACAGCGAGCUUGCAUUGGUGGAAAAUAAAACUGCCGAUAUAA